GCAGAACGCGAAGAACCUUACCUACGCUUGACAUACCGGUUGGGAGGGCGAGAGAUGUCUCUCUUCAUUAGUUGGACCGGAUACAGGUGCUGCAUGGCUGUCGUCAGCUCGUGUCGUGAGAUGUUGGGUUAAGUCCCGCAACGAGCGCAACCCUUAUCGUAUGUUGCCAGCAUUAAGUUGGGCACUCGUGCGAGACCGCCGGUGACAAGCCGGAGGAAGGUGGGGACGACGUCAAGUCCUCAUGGCCCUUACGUCCAGGGCUACACACGUGCUACAAUGAACGGUACAAAGGGUCGCGAAACCGUGAGGUGGAGCCAAUCCCAAAAAGCCGUUCUCAGUACGGAUAAGAGUCUGCAACUCGACUCUUUGAAGGCGGAAUCGCUAGUAAUCCCUGAUCAGCAUAGCAGGGGG
This 411-nucleotide ribosomal RNA is filed under the name uncultured bacterium. RNAcentral's name for it is "bacterial SSU rRNA". It matches the Rfam family "Bacterial small subunit ribosomal RNA", at positions 954 to 1363 of the family's 1533-position model. The record is from RNAcentral.